Long non-coding RNA from Magnolia sinica, 1758 nucleotides. RefSeq lists it as uncharacterized. NCBI's taxonomy places the organism in Eukaryota, Viridiplantae, Streptophyta, Magnoliopsida, Magnoliales, Magnoliaceae. The transcript is spliced from 11 exons. The record is from RefSeq and is a predicted model, not a curated record.
GUCUCUCAAUCUCCCUAUCCCGAUCUCAACCCUCUCUCUCGAUCUCCCUCUCCCGAUCUCAACCCUCUCACUCUCCCUCCUCUCUCGAUUUCCAUCUCCCUCGAUCGGCCCCUCCACCCUUUGUCAUUUCUUUCUCUCUCAGACCCCACUCUCGAUUCCCUUCCCUCUCUCCGUGUGUCUGUGCUAGAAGCUGUCUUCCCCAUUUCUCCUUCCUGUAAUAAAGUGUCUUUUGGAAACUCUCAAUCCAAAAAUUGGUCGAAAGAGAGAUGGCGAACCAGCUAGAGAACCUAGUGCAAUCUAUAAAAUCGAAGGUCAGAUCUAUAAAGAAAUCGAAGAAGAAGCCGUGGUGAAAAUGAACAAGAGCUUGAGUGUCAAGGUUUUGUAUUGCAAAAACCCUAUUUCCAAAUUCCAUUUCUCCGCCAUUGGCCAUCGUGAUUUUUUUUAACAUAUUGAUCUGCUGCUCUAGAUCUGCCAGCCAUCUAGAGCAGUAGAUCAAUAUGUUAAAGCUGUGGCCCACAUCUUCUGUUGUUGAUCAAAUCACACUGCUGUUGUUCCUGGUGGUCAUUAACACUAUAUCAGAUUUGUUUUUCAUCUAACCCAUUGUUGCUGAUCGUGUGGGCCCUGUACAUCGUUUUAAUGAAUUCACUGCUCAUCGGUUUGCUACCCUUCGGAAAAGACGCAAAAGGCGCAGGUGGCACUAAGAUUGAAGCAAAGUGGGUAUUCAGCUUGCUGCUCUGCUAGUGAUACGGUCCCUUGUAUCAUAUGUUGUCAGCAGGUCAAAGUUCUUUCAACUGUUGGAACUUACAUCACAUCGGCGAUUCACAAAAUCCAUAUGGGGAAUGUGACUGUUCUCCAGCUCAAGCUAAAGUGAGGAAGACAUUUUAUACAAAUGUUCCUGAUGAAUACAUGCAAGCUGUCGAAGAUCUGGUUGUCCCAAGGACUGAAUUUGGUAAUGCAUCAGAGAAAGAGCAUUACCAUGUGAAGGUGCUUGACAAACAUGGAGUGACUCUUUCAUGCAAAUGUUCUGCAACAGAAGGUGGAAAACUGAGUACAUGAAUGAGAAAAGGCAGAGGAUCAUAGUCAUGAGCCAGGCCCCAGAUCAUUAGACGCCACCUCCACCUGUUAACGAUACCAAUCUGUACAAUGUAUUCAGACCAAGGGAGAAAGCCCAUCGGCUCCACACAAGAAGGAUGCAAAGGCAGGAGAACAAUGUUCAGUCCUUUGAAAAGCUUCGCCAGCACUUCUCUCUUGAAUGUGAUUUUAUUGGUCGAAAUUGCAUUGAUUUUGCUUCAGGUCAGGCGCAACUUGGACCAAGCCAAAACAAUAGUAGAGAUUUUAUUUAAGAGGGAAGAGGAGGCGAGAAGUCAUGGAGAGUGAAGUUAACCUUCAACGGAUUCAGGUCAAGUUUAAGGCCCAACAAGACAGCAGAUAAUGUGAUAUUAAGAGCUGAAAAUGAUAACCUGAAAAACGAGAAUUUCGGCUUCAAGCAGCGAUCUGUAACGUAGUCUGUCCCAACUGCGGUGGGCUGGUAAUCCUCGGAGAGAUCUCAUUUGAUGAGCAGCAUCUUCAACUCAAAAAUGCUCAGCUCAAGGAUGAGCUGGACCGCCUUUCUUGUCUCAUGGAGCAUGAGAAGCCAAUGGCACUGGAUCUUAUGUUUUCUCUAGGAGUGGAGCACAUGAGAAUUUUUUAUUUAUUUUUAAUGUAUUUGUGCAAUUGUAAACUUAUUGUUGUAAAUAAAUAUAAUUUUUAUUAUAAAGU